UGGGGAAUCUUCCGCAAUGGACGCAAGUCUGACGGAGCAACGCCGCGUGAGUGAAGACGGCCUUCGGGUUGUAAAGCUCUGUUAUUCGGGAAGAACGAUUCGUUUGUGAACAAUGAACGGAAGUGACGGUACCGAAAGAGAAAGCCACGGCUAACUACGUGCCAGCAGCCGCGGUAAUACGUAGGUGGCAAGCGUUGUCCGGAAUUAUUGGGCGUAAAGAGCGCGUAGGCGGUAUGGUAAGUCUGUCUUAGAAGUGCGGGGCUUAACCCCGUGAGGGGACAGAGACUGUCAUACUGGAGUCUCGGAGAGGAAAGCGGAAUUCCUAGUGUAGCGGUGAAAUGCGUAGAGAUUAGGAAGAACACCGGUGGCGAAGGCGACUUUCUGGACGAGCACUGACGCUGAGGCGCGAAAGCGUGGGGAGCGAACAGG
RNAcentral lists this ribosomal RNA (429 nucleotides) under Fusobacteriota bacterium. Its description in RNAcentral is "Fusobacteria bacterium partial 16S ribosomal RNA". It matches the Rfam family "Bacterial small subunit ribosomal RNA", at positions 355 to 776 of the family's 1533-position model. The record is from RNAcentral. Lineage: Bacteria; Fusobacteriati; Fusobacteriota.